GCCCCACGCAAUCGCAUCUUAAAACUAAUUUAUAAUACAAACAACUAACAUCAAUAUAGAAAAGUACAGAAAUGGAAACAACAAUAAAUAAUAGUAAUUUUUAACAACUGUACCUUGUGCAUUAUGGUUUUACAAGAAAUCAAUUAAACACAAAAAUCCCGAAUUCUAAGUGAGAUGUUAAACUGCUGUUAAGAACCCAUUAGUAACUGUAGAAAAAGCUUUAAAAGACAGUUUAACAGAGGCUACAUACCAUCCGCACAAGAACAUAGCUGGUUUUCAACAAACAUUAUACAUUAAAACAUAUAAUUAAUAUUAUAGUGUAACAUUAUUGAGGACAAGCCCAGUAAUCUAAACAAUACUACACCAAAUCUACUCUUACAAAUAGGCUUAAUAUCAGCCAACAAAAAUACUUUACCGUAAUAGAAAUUGAUAUAAUACAUAAUGUAACAUGUGAAGGAAAGUUGAAAUACUGGGGAAACUCAUUUACCCGUCCAUACUAUGUAAAAAUAAGUAUUAAUAAACAUAAUAUCAAAUAACCAGAAAUUACAACAAACUUAUAAAUAAUAACUAAUUAAGGAACUCGGCAAACUACUAUUUCGACUGUUUAACAAAAACAUUGUCUCACGAAUAACAUAUGAGAUAAUACCUGCCCAGUGACACUGUUCAACGGCCGCGGUAUCCUAACCGUGCAAAGGUAGCAUAAUCACUUGCCUAUUAAUUGUAGGCUAGAAUGAAAGGGUUAACGAAAUAAAUACUGUCUCAAUUAGUAAACUAAAAAUUAUUCUCUACCUGAAGAAAGGUAGAUACACUCGAAGGACAAGAAGACCCUAUAGAGCUUAAUUUAAUUUAUAGAGUCACACUAUAAUAAUAUUCGGUUGGGGCGACCCAGGGCAAAAUAAUCACCCAUAUUUUAAAAGAUACAUUAAUCAAAUAACUGACCCUUUAAAGAUCACAAGAACAAGCUACCUUAGGGAUAACAGGCUAAUCCCACUCAAGAGUCCUUAUCAACAGUGGGGUUUGGCACCUCGAUGUUGGCUUAGGGUAUCUAUAAUAGCGCAAAAGUUAUAUAAAGAUGGUUUGUUCAACCAGUAACAUCCCUACAUGAGCUGAGUUCAGACCGGCGUAAGCCAGGUUAGCUUCUAUCCUCGACUCCCCAACUCUACCCCUAGUACGAAAGGACCUGGGUAGAAUAAUUAUUAUAUUAAAGAAUAAAUGUAAAUAACAAUAAACAACACUCACUAUAUACUAUA
Molecule: ribosomal RNA, 1250 nt
Filed under: Amynthas aspergillum
Lineage: Eukaryota; Metazoa; Annelida; Clitellata; Crassiclitellata; Megascolecidae
Description: Amynthas aspergillus 16S ribosomal RNA
Rfam family: Archaeal large subunit ribosomal RNA (bases 555-1250)
Source: RNAcentral